GACGAACGCUGGCGGCGUGCUUAACACAUGCAAGUCGAACGGAAAGGCCCUGCUUUUGUGGGGUGCUCGAGUGGCGAACGGGUGAGUAACACGUGAGUAACCUGCCCUUGACUUUGGGAUAACUUCAGGAAACUGGGGCUAAUACCGGAUAGGAGCUCCUGCUGCAUGGUGGGGGUUGGAAAGUUUCGGCGGUUGGGGAUGGACUCGCGGCUUAUCAGCUUGUUGGUGGGGUAGUGGCUUACCAAGGGUUUGACGGGUAGCCGGCCUGAGAGGGUGACCGGCCACAUUGGGACUGAGAGACGGCCCAGACUCCUACGGGAGGCAGCAGUGGGGAAUAUUGCACAAUGGGCGGAAGUCUGAUGCAGCGACGCCGCGUGCGGGAUGACGGCCUUCGGGUUGUAAACCGCUUUCGCCUGUGACGAAGCGUGAGUGACGGUAAUGGGUAAAGAAGCACCGGCUAACUACGUG
RNAcentral lists this ribosomal RNA (468 nucleotides) under uncultured bacterium. RNAcentral describes it as "partial 16S ribosomal RNA". It matches the Rfam family "Bacterial small subunit ribosomal RNA", at positions 28 to 507 of the family's 1533-position model. The record is from RNAcentral.